Molecule: ribosomal RNA, 253 nt
Filed under: uncultured bacterium
Lineage: Bacteria
Description: partial 16S ribosomal RNA
Rfam family: Bacterial small subunit ribosomal RNA
Source: RNAcentral
UACAGAGGGGGCAAGCGUUGUUCGGAAUUACUGGGCGUAAAGGGCGCGUAGGCGGCCUGCUAAGUCGAACGUGAAAUCCCUGGGCUCAACCCAGGAACUGCGUCCGAUACUGGCGGGCUUGAAUCCGGGAGAGGGAUGCGGAAUUCCAGGUGUAGCGGUGAAAUGCGUAGAUAUCUGGAGGAACACCGGUGGCGAAGGCGGCAUCCUGGACCGGCAUUGACGCUGAGGCGCGAAAGCUAGGGGAGCAAACGGG